This is a non-coding RNA of Mycena latifolia, 91 nucleotides long. The record is from the annotation of a GenBank genome assembly. Lineage: Eukaryota; Fungi; Basidiomycota; Agaricomycetes; Agaricales; Mycenaceae.
GACCUAGUGGUGAAUGGAUCACACCUGCUCUCCUUACUCUGCUGUCACCGAAUUGAAGCAGAAAGCCCCGGUUCGAUUCCGGGCCAGGUCA